RNAcentral lists this ribosomal RNA (594 nucleotides) under uncultured bacterium. Its description in RNAcentral is "bacterial SSU rRNA". It matches the Rfam family "Bacterial small subunit ribosomal RNA", at positions 299 to 916 of the family's 1533-position model. The record is from RNAcentral. RNAcentral also lists the same sequence under 1 other name.
AGCUUUUUCCUGCAGGGUCGACGAUUCCUACGGGAGGCAGCAGUGGGGAAUAUUGCACAAUGGGCGAAAGCCUGAUGCAGCGACGCCGCGUGAGGGAUGACGGCCUUCGGGUUGUAAACCUCUUUCAGCAGGGACGAAGCGAGAGUGACGGUACCUGCAGAAGAAGCACCGGCCAACUACGUGCCAGCAGCCGCGGUAAUACGUAGGGUGCAAGCGUUGUCCGGAAUUACUGGGCGUAAAGAGCUCGUAGGCGGUUUGUCGCGUCGUCUGUGAAAACUCGAGGCUCAACCUCGAGCUUGCAGGCGAUACGGGCAGACUUGAGUACUGCAGGGGAGACUGGAAUUCCUGGUGUAGCGGUGAAAUGCGCAGAUAUCAGGAGGAACACCGGUGGCGAAGGCGGGUCUCUGGGCAGUAACUGACGCUGAGGAGCGAAAGCGUGGGUAGCGAACAGGAUUAGAUACCCUGGUAGUCCACGCCGUAAACGGUGGGCGCUAGGUGUGGGUUUCCUUCCACGGGAUCCGUGCCGUAGCUAACGCAUUUAGCGCCCCGCCUGGGGAGUACGGCCGCAAGGCUAAAACUCAAAGGAAUUGACGG